AGUAGUCUCUGCCACAGGAAGCACGAGUUAAAAGCAUUCCAAUGACCCAAACACUUCAUCUGCUGUUUCCAUGGCUGCAGAUCAUCAAAACACCACAGAUCCCUUAGGAGUCCCCUGUGAAGAAAUUAUUGUUUACUCUGCUAACUGAUUGGUCUAUGGUGUUCGAGUGCAUUUUAAAGCGUCUACAGAGGAGCAGGGUGUGGGGGUCUCCUGCUGAGAAAAGCGAGCAAGCUUUGGGUUCUCUCAGAAGUACUGACAAGGACCAUGUUGUGAGAUGGUAAUGACAACCUCAACCAGAGAGCGCAUCGUGGUUUUAGUUCUCCAUCAUGAGCAAAACCAAGAAAUACAGAAUAAAAUGGAUUUGAUCCCUGAA
This is a long non-coding RNA of Panthera uncia (snow leopard), 373 nucleotides long. RefSeq lists it as uncharacterized. The transcript is spliced from 2 exons. NCBI's taxonomy places the organism in Eukaryota, Metazoa, Chordata, Mammalia, Carnivora, Felidae. The record is from RefSeq and is a predicted model, not a curated record.